RNAcentral lists this ribosomal RNA (579 nucleotides) under Neopetalia punctata. Its description in RNAcentral is "partial 12S ribosomal RNA". Lineage: Eukaryota; Metazoa; Arthropoda; Insecta; Odonata; Neopetaliidae. The record is from RNAcentral.
GAAAAAGUGAAUAUUAUUGGUUUAAUAGUUAAUUUUUUUCGUUUUUAAAGAAAUAAUUUUUAGGUGAAAUUUAUAAUUGUUUUAUAAAAAUAUUAUAUGAAGCUAUGAAAUUUAUUAAAUAAACAAGGAUUAGAUACCCUUUUAUUAUAAAUGUUAAUAUAAACCUGGGUAGUAAUAGUUAUGUUCUUGAAACCCAAAGAAUUUGGCGGUAUUUUAGUCUUUUCAGAGGAAUCUGUCCCAUUAUCGAUAACCCACGAGAGGAUUUACUUGUUUUUGUUUAAUCAGUUUGUAUACCUCCGUCAUAAGAGUAUCUUUUUAGAGAAAAUAUUCUUUUUAUAUAAAAUAUAAUAUGUCAGGUCAAGGUGCAACUAAUAAAUAAGAGGAGAUGGAUUACAAUAAAUUUAUUUAUAUGAAUUAAAAUAUUUAAAGUUUUAUGAAGGUGGAUUUGAUAGUAAUAAUUAAUAUUUUAUUUAUUUGAUUUUAGCUCUAAAAUAUGCACACAUCGCCCGUCGCUCUCAUUAUUUAAAAUGAGAUAAGUCGUAACAUAGUAGAUGUAUCGGAAGAUGUAUCUAGAAAGUA